Long non-coding RNA from Triplophysa dalaica, 1279 nucleotides. RefSeq lists it as uncharacterized. The transcript is spliced from 4 exons. NCBI's taxonomy places the organism in Eukaryota, Metazoa, Chordata, Actinopteri, Cypriniformes, Nemacheilidae. The record is from RefSeq and is a predicted model, not a curated record.
GAUAAGGCACCUUCCUGCUCAAAAGUGCAUGUGGGUCACAUGAAUAAUGGAUGUCAGGCUGAACUGCUGCUGAACUUCGGCGAUGUCAAACCUGCACGCCCAUUAUACACCCGUCUCUGCUGAUGUGGCCUCUGUCAUCGCUUUGGGUGUGGCCGAUCGCCUGACACUCUCAAACAACUCAAGCUUUGUUCGACCGCAUGGCCUUUGUGAUCCAACGACUUACGUGUCCAUAUAUGAGGUCACAUAAACCAGCGUGCUGACCGGAGACCUGGUGCAAGGCUUGGAUGUCUGAAAUCAAGAGCGUCUUUCUCUGGGGAAGGUCAUACUCCGUCAGCCUGCCGUCACGGAUGAUGAAGAUGUCUGCAGCCUGAGGUUGAGUGGUGACAGUCAUAACGCUGGCUGGGCGUGACAGUGAUCUCCAGCAGUUUUGACACAUUUGAAGGGAUCCAAGGAAGGAGAUAAUUAAAGCCACACCGAUGCCUUCUGAUCAACUUUUCCUUUAUGUAAGGUCGCCUCAUUCCUAAAGAUGCCGCAGGGUGAUUUAGCUUGUGUCUUUCACCUCUGCUUUCUAGUUUUAUCGGACUGGGUGUGUGCCGUCUGACUGGCAUUAAUGUGUUACGGUUUCAAAGUAGAGUUAAUUGAGGGUUAAUCAUUCAGUAAUUUGAAGUUGAGCAAUCACAAAAGUAUGCUUGGUAAUACAAAAAAUACCCUGUUAUUAUUAACCUCUUACAGAAUGUCCCCGCAGUUAAAUGGGCAAAAAUACUUUCUGGGUGAAUCAUGUGUUGAUUCUGGCUUGUUCCAUGAAUGCUUGUGAAACUGAAAGUGUAAAAUAAGACAAAGCACCCACACCUGAUUUCCAUAAAGCUGCAGAUACAGUACACCUGUAACUCAUUCAUUCAUCUGUGUCAGUGAAGUUGUGUAAGAUCAUAUCAAAUACAUAUGAAUCAUGGGAGGUUAUAACAAUCGUUGAUUUGAUUGUAUCAAUAGACAAUGAGAUGAUAUUAAAGCACACAUGAUUCAUUUAUGAAUGUGUUGCAGCUUGAGUUAGGAACUUUGAUGUCUGAAACUUUGAUCAGAUUUAUUAUGAGUGUAUCCAUUAAUAAUUCAAUCAGCUUAGCGUCCCGUCCUAACAUGUGUUUACAUUAGUCUCAGAGUUCUGCAUGGGGCUUAUGUGAGUCAGAACGUGUCCAGAUUUACUGCAGAUGUUUGCUGAAUGGAAAAUAAAGUGUUUACUUGUGUCUGACGCACAAUGAAGAGCUACAUUUAGUGUUUAUUUGAC